GAGAGAGAGAGAGAGAGAGAGAGAGAGAGACGGAAGAGAGAGAGAGAAUGACAGCUGAUCUGCUAACAAUCAAAGGUGGCGAGGGCCUUGAUCCGGAUCCACCCGGUUCUAGAAAGGGUAUUCGAAACAAAUUGUUUCCUACGGGGCAGCCUCCUUGGCCGGUUCAAGCCGGGCAUGGGCCGGUGCCGACGCUGAGGGCAAUACUAUUGGGGGAUAAUAAUGAAGCACAAAUGUUGUCCUACUAAAGAGUGAAAAAAGACAGAAGAAGGCCCUCUCUCCUG
Molecule: long non-coding RNA, 281 nt
Filed under: Amborella trichopoda
Lineage: Eukaryota; Viridiplantae; Streptophyta; Magnoliopsida; Amborellales; Amborellaceae
Description: long non-coding RNA (ATRI_LNC000449)
Source: RNAcentral